AGUGAACGCUGGCGGUAGGCCUAACACAUGCGAGUCGAACGGCAGCACAGUAAGAGCUUGCUCUUACGGGUGGCGAGUGGCGGACGGGUGAGGAAUACAUCGGAAUCUACUUUUUCGUGGGGGAUAACGUAGGGAAACUUACGCUAAUACCGCAUACGACCUACGGGUGAAAGCAGGGGAUCUUCGGACCUUGCGCGAUUGAAUGAGCCGAUGUCGGAUUAGCUAGUUGGCGGGGUAAAGGCCCACCAAGGCGACGAUCCGUAGCUGGUCUGAGAGGAUGAUCAGCCACACUGGAACUGAGACACGGUCCAGACUCCUACGGGAGGCAGCAGUGGGGAAUAUUGGACAAUGGGCGCAAGCCUGAUCCAGCCAUACCGCGUGGGUGAAGAAGGCCUUCGGGUUGUAAAGCCCUUUUGUUGGGAAAGAAAAGCAGCAGGUUAAUACCCCGCUGUUCUGUCGGUACCCAAAGAAUAAGCACCGGCUAACUUCGUG
This 492-nucleotide ribosomal RNA is filed under the name uncultured bacterium. Its description in RNAcentral is "partial 16S ribosomal RNA". It matches the Rfam family "Bacterial small subunit ribosomal RNA", at positions 29 to 507 of the family's 1533-position model. The record is from RNAcentral.